Molecule: long non-coding RNA, 2377 nt
Organism: Gadus macrocephalus (Pacific cod)
Lineage: Eukaryota; Metazoa; Chordata; Actinopteri; Gadiformes; Gadidae
Exons: 2
Source: RefSeq, a predicted model, not a curated record
AAAAAAACUAAACUAUAUAUAAAAAAAUUAUAGGUAUAUAUAUAUAUAUAUAUCUAAAUAUAUAUAUAUAUAUAUAUAUAUAUGAUGCGUAUUCAUAUAUAUAUAUAUAUAUAUAUAUAUAUAUAUAUAUAUAUAUGAUGUGUAGUUGCUGUCCCGGCAGAGAUCAAGACAUUUUAAACUUACUUUUUCACUCAGUGACCUAAAAUAUCAUGUCCCAUUAAUUUGGGUACAGAAUUACCCUUUAAAAUAAAUGGUUGUCCUUUUUCUUCUACCGCCAGGAUUUCGACAACUCCUUCCACAUCAACCAACUAUUCACGCACCUCCUAUAGCAGAAAGGUCAACCUACUAAUAAUAAUAACAGGCUGCUGAGGUAAUAUACUCCUCUAAAUUAACUCUACCUAUGAAUAAUAAUAAAGGCUGCCGGGGUUAUAUAGGUCUACACUCAAGUUAGUUUUUUUCUGAUAUGGCGUCAACAACUGCAUUUCAUCGGCAGCUCUUGGAUAGUGCUUGUGCUGCGGCUCAAACCCUUGUUGCACAUCGCAGCUUCAUUACGGCUCAUUAAGUUCAUGCUGUACGCAUGGCGCUCCAUGGCUCGUCUAGUGUGCGACCGGCUAUCACCGGUUCAAUGUGUUUACAGACUUUCUUCGCCAUUUCUCAAUCUUUCUUUCAGUUGGAAAUGUUUUCCUUUUGCAUUCCAUCUGAACAGUUUUUCUUUUCACUUAGAGAGGCUUUCGAAGAAGGUGUGUGUUUGUGUGUGUGUGAAGGGCCCUGGAAAGUGAGAGGGCGAUGAUAGGGGAAAAUUGGAGAGAGAGAGCGAGAGAGAGAGAACCCUUAGAUUAAAGCCCAAAGCCAUUGAUUUAGCACAAGGUAAAUAUGUUUCAUAUUUGUGGUAUGUCGUCUGGAGGCCAUACAAGAGAGAAGAGAGAGGAGAAGAUGAAAAAAAUUUACUGAUAAGAGGAAAGAGGAUGAUGGACACCACAUACACUACCUGUGUGUUUGUGUGUAUGUGCAUGCAUGUGCGUUGUGUGUUUGAGUAGAGAGGCGGAUACCUGCCACAUGUGCGUGGGGGUGACACGGGGGAUGUCUCUGUAAACACACAAACCCUUUGAAGUUUAACCCCCACCCCGGUCCAACCCACACACACACUCACACACACACUUCUGCUGCCUCGGGGCCCUCUGGCCCGGUAUGUUGGGCUUAGGGCCACUUGACAGUGUGUUGUUUCAAGAACCUAAUCCUGCUGGAGUGUUGGCAGCUGAGAAGAUGAGUGUGUGUGUGUGUGUGUGUGUGUGUGUGUGUGUGUGUGUGUGUGUGUGUGUGUGUGUGUGUGUGUGUGUGUGUGUGUGUGUGUGUGUGUGUGUGUGUGUGUGUGUGUGUGUGUGCGUGUGUGCGUGUGUCUGUCUGUCUGUCUGUGUGUGUGUGUGUGUGUGUGUGUGUGUGUGUGUGUGUGUGUGUCUGUGCGUGUGUGUGUGUGUGUGUGUGUGAUGGGAGAGCCAGGGCUUUCAAAGACAAAUGAACGAGGACAUGUUUCAUCUGAAGAAUAUGUUGUCGACAGGACAAAUUGCUCAUCUUUCCACAAGAUGAGUAAAAGACCAAAACAAGUUUGAUUCGUCUGCAAAACAUCAGUCAGUAACCCCAUGCCAACUCUCUCUCUUUCUCUCUUGCACGCCUCUUUCCUUUUUCCCAUCCGUCUGUCAAUCUGUCGGCACCCUCGCUCUCGGUACAAAGAAACACCGGAACUCCUCAAACACACACAAGUGUGUGUGUUAAGUUUUUGUCAUUGCUUUGCCCCGGCUGCUGCAACAAAACGAGGAUUCCCUGUCUUAUGGAUGUGCUAAUCCUAAUGUAAAGAGACAUUGGUCCAGCAGAUGGUGUCCUCAACAUUUAGCCUCAUGUCCGUCACCAUCAGAACGUCAACAGGAAUCUUAUGGAAUGGAAGAUGGAGCCUGUCGUUUGGCAAUUCAUGAGGGUUUAAUAUGGCAAUCAGCCCUUAGGGGAACACAAGGACUUCAUUUAUUUGUACGGGGACAACCGAGGUUCAGAAUAUGGCUCACAUGUGAGUCGGAAAUGGAGAUAUACUUAUGGCCCUCCAUCGCUGUACACUGAAUAAAAUCUUAAGCAUCCUCCAUCACCUCCUGGUGAACUGGGCCGGGAAUCAAACCAUCAUCCUCCUGUGUCAUUUCCACCAGCAGGCUGCCCUGUUCAGCUCAGUGACGGGAUGCCAGAGGGGCCGACAGCAGCCUGGGUCCAAUUAUUGCAGAUAUGUGAUGUGAAUUAAGACCAGAGUAAUGGAUCCCUGAAUUAAGACCAGAGUAAUGGAUCCCUGAAUGAGUAUAUCAUUGUGCUGCGGCCCAGCUGAAUAAACGCUUCAAAUAUG